Molecule: transfer RNA, 64 nt
Filed under: Noteridae sp. MJTNT-2012
Lineage: Eukaryota; Metazoa; Arthropoda; Insecta; Coleoptera; Noteridae
Description: tRNA-Glu
Source: RNAcentral
AUUUAUAUAGUUUAGAAAAAAUAUUACAUUUUCAAUGUAAAGAAAAAUAAAAAUUUUAUAAAUG